Lynx canadensis (Canada lynx) is the source of this 584-nucleotide long non-coding RNA. RefSeq lists it as uncharacterized. The record is from RefSeq and is a predicted model, not a curated record. The transcript has 2 exons. NCBI's taxonomy places the organism in Eukaryota, Metazoa, Chordata, Mammalia, Carnivora, Felidae.
UUAGCUAUUACUAUUGAUAAAUUAGCAACACAUUUAAGGUUCCAUUUUCAUGGAAAAGCUUUGUAUGGAUUAUACAGCCAUGUUGAACCUGUGGGCCUGGGAGCCCCCUCCAUCUUUGUAGAUUUCCCCUUGAGAAAGAAGGGGAUCUAAAGAUGUUACAGUUGGAAAUGCCAAAGGUGAACGGCCUUGGUAAGAGGGAUUACCCAAGGUAAAACCUCUUAGGGAUCCAGGCUGCUGGGGUUUUCCGUCUGUCUCAGAAAUUUAGGCAGGUGUGGUUCCCUGGUGCCCUGAUAAGAGAUGACUCAGCACAGGGAAGAGAACCACUAGGCUCACAGACCAACAACUUCCUUCUUUCCUGGGCUUUUCCCUUGGUGUCUACACAACCUGCAGCCUUCCUGCAUCAGGGCAGGAGGAGGACUUAUCUGAUGCCACAGACCAGUGGCUUUCAGAGAGGGUACACGUAAUUGUCUGCUGUCUGCCGUCUGCGGUUGCUCACUGUGUCAGUGACUGGGUAAAGUGUUUCCACUUCAGCCACAUCCUCCAGUCCAGCUUUGUCAGUAAUAAAGAUGACAUUUUGAUCUCUA